CCCGGCCCCCUCGUCCCGCCCCGCCGUCUCGCCCGCCCCGCUCGUCCCGCUCGCCCUGGCCGUGGCCGAUGACCGCGGCCCCGUCGUCCCGCCCCGCUCGCCGUGGCCGAUGACCGCGCCACCAGGGACCGCGGCCACUCGAUGAGGAGGCCUGGACCUUGGCGCAGACCCGUGCCCCCGCGCGGCGGCGGCAGAUCCCUCAUCGCGGAGCCAGCCCUCCCGCCGAUGCCACGCCGCGUCGCGAUGCCGCUGGCUUGGAGGCCCGUGUUCAGGCAGCCGCCGCGGCGUCGCCGGAUGCGGUGGCAGGCUCUCAGGGGACCGCUUGGCAGGGGGGUCGUCGCGGCUUCCGGUGGCGCCAAGCCGUAGAUCUGAGCCGCCGUUUACACUUUGGUUUCGAUUUGGUGCCUCCACUCCUCACCACCUAUCCCUCUCUGAUCUUGUUUGUUUGUAGGCCUGGGCUUGUAGGUUAUUUGUCUUCUCUGUAUGUAGAUGUUGUUGGAUUCAGACCAUAGUCGAAAGAUGGGGGCCUUUUGUGCUCUCAGGUUUGGCUAUAUUCCAAGUAUUGGGAUUUCUCUCAGGUCUGGCUAGGUUCCAAAGAUGGCCACAGAGCCUUUUGUGCUCUCAGGUUUGGCUAGAUUCCAAGUAUUUGGAUUUUUUGGGUCAAUGGUCUGGCUAGGUUGGCUAGGUUCCAAAGCUGGCCACUUCUCUAUGGCCUUUUGUGCUGCCUUGCUUGGACUCGAUGGGAGAGAGAUAAGGGUUGGGCUAGGUUCCAAAGAUGGCCACUUUUCUGUGGCCUUUUGUGUCGCCUUGCUUGGACUUGAUGGGAGAGAGAGAAGGGUUUGGCUAGGUUCCAAAUAUUGGGAUCUUUUGGAAGUUAAGGUACUCAUGUGCUCUUUGUUAUAUUGUAAAGUAUGUAUAUGGGGUAUUCCUCUGGUUCAAAAUAAAUACUAGGUUAAGAUCCUUACACUUGAAAUUUAUCAUUAUUUGGAUACUCUGCAGUGUUGUUUUGUUUACUAAAUUCUCCAGUUAUUUUCAGUUUCAAUUAGGCUCUGUGUAGUGAUUAUCUCGGCUUUUGCAAUAGCAACUAUACCAUCGUGAUGUGUAAUUACAUAUUGUUUUAGUGUUAUAAUUUGUUCUGACUUCCAUGAUUUAUAGUAUUGACAUAUUGAGCUUGUAUGCCCUUUCCAUGAAUUGAGUUCUAUGUAAGUCUUGGCAAUGCAUUGACAUGGUUCUAUACCAUCGUGAUGUGUAAUUACAGAUUGUUUUAGUGUUAUAAUUUGUUCUGACUUCCAUGAUUUAUAGUAUUGACAUAUUGAGCUUGUAUGCCCUUUCCAUGAAUUGAGUUCUAUGUAAGUCUUGGCAAUGCAUUGACAUGGUUCUAUACCAUCGUGAUGUGUAAUUACAGAUUGUUUUAGUGUUAUAAUUUGUUCUGACUUCCAUGAUUUAUAGUAUUGACAUAUUGAGCUUGUAUGCCCUUUCCAUGAAUUGAGUUCUAUGUAAGUCUUGGCAAUGCAUUGACAUGGUUCUAUACCAUCGUGAUGUGUAAUUACAGAUUGUUUUAGUGUUAUAAUUUGUUCUGACUUCCAUGAUUUAUAGUAUUGACAUAUUGAGCUUGUAUGCCCUUUCCAUGAAUUGAGUUCUAUGUAAGUCUUGGCAAUGCAUUGACAUGGUUCUAUACCAUCGUGAUGUGUAAUUACAGAUUGUUUUAGUGUUAUAAUUUGUUCUGACUUCCAUGAUUUAUAGUAUUGACAUAUUGAGCUUGUAUGCCCUUUCCAUGAAUUGAGUUCUAUGUAAGUCUUGGCAAUGCAUUGACAUGGUUCUGGUAGCCAUUAUGAUGCAUGAUGCACCACAAUGUCAGUUCCUUUCUAUCACUGAUUUUUUGAUAAAUCUUGCUGCAGUGAAACCCAAAGAACGAUAUGGAUGUGAAUGAAAAGGGAGAGUUUCACUUCAUGUAGCUACUACACCAGGAGAAUUGUAUGCUUGCGCCGAGGAAAAUGUUAUGCCGACUGUGGACAAGUGCCCUGAACUCACCUAUGCCCGGAGCCUAUGUGAUGUGUACCUGUGUUGGUGCCUUUACAGAAGAUCCAUUAUGCCUCCCUCUCGUGUUAGAAAUUUUCAGUUCUCCAUCCAUGGUAACUAUCAAUAUAUAACUCCAGUUCAUGUUCUUCUAAUUAUACAUGAGGGUAUGAAAAAUCCACACUCUUAUACAUUACUACUACUUUACUUCAUAUAUGUGUCUUGAUAAAUAUGUGAAGGACGUGAGGUGUCGCUGAUGAGACCUUUGUGUUGGCCGGUGAUCAUGGGCAACGUUAUAUAGUUAGUUUGAUAUGUUAUGUGGUCCAGCUAGGUUCGAAGGAAGGGGGUCUUUGGAUCAGUCCCAUAUUCAUGUUAGUUUUAUAACAAAUCGAUGAAAAUUACUUCUGUGUGUUGUUGCUUCAAGUUGAAGUUUGGUCACUUGUUUUCAGGUCUUCCCCGCCGUCAUUUCUAUAAAAAUAAACAAAUUAUUUAUUUAUAGUCGACUGCCAUUUUUUCCUUUUGGCUAUGUGUUGGUCGCCCCUCAUCCGCGGCUGCUCGCGGGCGCUCCCGCAAUGCCGCGGGUAAAACUGGUGGUGGCCAUGGCAUUGCCAGCGGCUCUGCCUCUUGUGGUGACUUUGUAGAAUACAAGUCAAGUUUAAAGCUUUCGACUGCGACGGCUGAAAAACCAAAGUAAAUGCAUCAUAUAUAUUCUAAUAAAUGCAUGCGAAUCAUAGAAAAUAUGGUAAGCACCUAUCCUGCAAUUUAGUACUGGCGUGAUGUUGCUCUUUGUUGAUAGAAAUCAUACUUGCAUAGCUGUUUGAUUGAUUUGAUUAUAAUCAAACUGCACUGUCAUAAUUUUAAUAUUGUGAUUAUUCAAAUGAAAAAUGAUCAAAGAAAUACAUGUACCAAAGUCGCAUUUGUUGAGAUCAUGAGUAGGCAUAAAAUUCUUGGUCAUUAUGUUUUUACAUUUCUGGGUUUGUGUGCAUUUUUAACGAGUUAUAUUGUUUAGUGCACAGAUAGGGUUCUUUCCUGAACAGAGUGCAUUUGCAUUGAGAUAUUAGACAGUUGGGAUGCCGGAUAUUGUCCUUCGAGCUGGUGUGCCGUCAAUCUCUUGUUCGUGCCAUCGCGUUGAGAUAUUCUUUUUAGGGCGAUGAUGAUUAACCGUGGCUGAAAUAAGUGUGCCUUUGAGCAAUCGAGGCACCUGUGGGUAUCAAGUUGGAUCCUCCCUCGCGUCUCUAGAAUCCUUUUUGAUCUUGUGAUACCUGUUGUUCUGUCCUUGGAUGGUCAUUCUUGUUGAGUGAUAACCAGGGCAGCUCAACUGUAUAAACAGAUUGAUCUGGUGAUAAGAGAUAACGGGCUAGGUAAUAUGAUUGAGGAAAGGCGAAUCUGAGCCCACUAUGCAUUGGACCCUGAACCCUUUUUAUUUGAUUUAAAGGUGUUGUUUAUUUAGGCUCACACCGCUGCUCCCCAUUGUGCGGCCAUCGUCCUCGUGUUUGCGUGCGCGCAGGAAACCAACAGGCGUCGAUGUAGUGAGAGCUAUGCAAGUCGCUGAACAUGAUGGUGCUAUUGUUUAUACAGCGUGGCAUGGCACACAUACUAUAUUAUUGAGCUAUCAUCUUCUGGUUCUGGAUUUAUGGUGGCGGCAGUAUUGACGCUGAAGGAAUGGGAGAGAAGGACAAGCUCGCUCUUGUGCUACCGCUAGGUGAGGUGAUUGACUCGGGGUGUCUUUUCUCAAAAAAGACAGGCUCAACCAUGAGAGCAUGAGAUCUUUGCACUUGUUGUUUGAUGCGUUUGUGCUCGUCGGCGGGACGGUGCAAGGCGCAACUCCGACGCGGUUCCUCGCCGGUUGGACGGCGUUCAAGCGCAACCCCGGCGCGCACUGAGUAUUGCCUCGGCUACAACCUCCCUCGGUGAGCUCCAUCUUCCUCCUGUUCUUCUGCUUUGGCUACUGUAUGUGACAUCAAGAAAUAAGAGAUGGA
Molecule: non-coding RNA, 3995 nt
Organism: Triticum urartu
Lineage: Eukaryota; Viridiplantae; Streptophyta; Magnoliopsida; Poales; Poaceae
Source: RefSeq, a predicted model, not a curated record